CCAUGCAGGGAGCCCGAUGUGGGAUUCGAUCCUGGGUCUCCAGGAUCGCGCCCUGGGCCAAAAGCAGGCGCCAAACCGCUGCGCCACCCAGGGAUCCCCCAUCCAUUUUUUUAUACAUUUAUGUAUUCGUUCAAGGCACUAGAUAUUGAGUACCUCUUGUGGUCAUCACCGUGCCUUCUGGAAAGUUAAGAUCUAGCAAUGGAAUUAUGAUGAAGAAAUAACCAUGAAAAUGCCACUCUUUUGGUGUAUUUUUAUUGGACCCUAAUUUUAUUCCGUUUUUUUUUUUUUGUUUCAAAAACAAAAACAGUUAUACUGUCUAUUCCAUCUUAGCUGCUUUAUUUUACUUUUUAAUUUACAGCACAGUGGGAAUGACAAGAGAGAUACAAAACUUUUUAUUCCAUCUUCUUGCCCGUCAGGAAUAAGAUUCUGUUAUUUUUAACCUGAGUCUGUGGUUCACAUAGCAGGCCCUGUUCUUUCUGCCUCACGGAGCCUGUCCUAGCUACACUGUUUGCCCACUUCCCCCUCCCCCCCCCCGGGGCAUCAGCUGUGGGUAGAUGGGUGCCCCUUACUGCCCGUGGCCUUCAGUAAGGGUGCCCGUGGGGCUCACUCUUACCAGACUGGAGCCUGGGGCAGAAUAGGCAUCAGGCUGGGAGGCAGAGCAGCCCUGCUCCAGCUACUUCAGUUCCUUAUAACUCAGCAAGUGGAUGACACAAAUGACAGAGGCCUCAUGCCUGAAGCUGUAAGACAGUGAUCCUAUGCAUGUUUCCUUAUCUCCUGACUCGACUCUCCUUCCUUCCUUCCUUCCAUCCCUCCCUCCCUUCCAUCCACAGUCUUGUUCUUUUACCUCUCCUCCCAGAUUUUCACAAAAGACUGCUAGAUUUUUUUUUUUUUCUGAAAUGCCACUUCUCCCCAUGGAAGAAGUGAAGACCUAGUUCAUUUGAUCCCUUGUUGUGUCUUAAAAUUUCAUAGCCUCAGGUAUCCAUUUGAGGUCUGUAGCUAAAGCUACAGUGGGCCCUUGCCUAGUUUCAGCUCUUCUUGUAGUUACAAUCGUAUUUUAAUAUAACUAAAUCACAUCCCAGUAUUUUUUGUUUUACAAUUUCGUGGUUUUUAGCGUAUUCACCUAGUUGUGCAACCAUCACCACAGUCUAACUUCAUAACAUUUUCAUCACCCCAGAAAGAAACCACACACCCAUUAACAGUCACUCCUUAUUUCCCCGACUCUCCUGCCAGCCCUAGUUAACCAUUAAUCUACUUUCCAUCUCUGUGGAUGUCAUUCCUGCCAUUCACAAAGGGAGAUGGGGGAGCUCUGGUACAGAUGCAGAUGGGGAGAAGAGGAGUUCUGGUUUGGAGUGAGCUUCCACUUCUAUCUCUGCUUACCCGCCAUCCCCAAAAUUUGAGGUUAAAUUUCUUGCACCUUUGAAGAUGUUUUUCCAAAGAUUUUCAUCGGGUCUCCAAAACAAUCGUAUAUAAUAUGUGUGAACACAAAUAUAUUCCUAGAUUUUAAUUGUAUUCCAGAACUUUAAUCUUGAGUCCUCCUAGUGCAUACACACACAUACCUGGCCCUGAAUUAUAUUUCAGAGCCAUCUCUUCUAACCAGGCAGUGAAGGGCAUCCUGCCUCAAACACUGUCCCCUAAUUUCCUGAUUCCUAGGUUUUUCAAAGCAGGUGAGAUAUAUAAAAUAUUUGGUAACAGUAAAGAGUGGGAACCAGUAGAAUGAACCAUGGGGAAAGACUUGGGCAUUACACCCAUCUCUGCCAUGUGUACAACCAGAAUUGACCGUGGAGAGACAAAGAGGAGGAGCAGGUCAGUAUGAGAAGACUCUUUCACAGUUGCCUUUUCCAGCUAGAGCAUCUCAGCCAACCAAGCAUCCCACCCCCCACCCCCCACCCAGGGGUGGUCCUUUGUGAUGUCUAAGCUCCCCGUGGCCACCAUUGGCUGUGGUGCGUGCCCUGCUGACCACACAAAGCAGAAGGGUGUGAGCCCUGUUGUCCUGGGACGGGUAUAUAUACAGAGAGCAGGACUCCUGGGGUAGACAACUGAGCAGCUGCAACAUGGCAAAAGUGGCGGAGAAAUCAUGGGUGCCAAGAACCAGGAACACCAAGCGGUGGAAGAAGAGGAAGAGCCCCUCUCGGUCCAGAUCAGGGGGCGCUAAAAAGGUGCCAAAGGUCUACAAGGUAAAAAGAUCACUUCAUGCAAAUUCAAGAAAGAAACACUCUCCUAAAGUCACGACCACUUCAAGAAGAAAGAAGAGAGCGAGAAGGGCCAGCAAGUUUCAGCCAUUGCUGUAGACUAAGAGCCACAAGCAGCCAGGCCCAGACCCAGUGGACCCUGCAAGCUACACCACUCCCAGACAAGACCAUGCAGCAGAACCUACAGAGCAAGCUUCAGAGACCUCGGACAGUCUUCAUCUAGAGACCUGGCUGCGGAUAAAUGGCCAACUGCGUAGAGACCGACUCAGACCUUAAUGUGGAAUUCGGAACACGAAUGGAGGUGAUUCAAAUAAAAUCAACAUGGUGGGAGAAGCCCCUCCACGAAAUAAAAGUAGGCACUCUGCACAGCAA
This is a long non-coding RNA of Nyctereutes procyonoides (raccoon dog), 2561 nucleotides long. RefSeq lists it as uncharacterized. The record is from RefSeq and is a predicted model, not a curated record. The transcript is spliced from 2 exons. Lineage: Eukaryota; Metazoa; Chordata; Mammalia; Carnivora; Canidae.